This is a long non-coding RNA of Lolium perenne, 1194 nucleotides long. RefSeq lists it as uncharacterized. The record is from RefSeq and is a predicted model, not a curated record. NCBI's taxonomy places the organism in Eukaryota, Viridiplantae, Streptophyta, Magnoliopsida, Poales, Poaceae.
UUUCUCUAUGAGGUCCUACAACCGCAAUCUAGAUCUUGCUACUCCGAUCUACCAGACUCCUGCUCGCCGCCUCCCACCGUCGUGACCUUCCCCGGCCUCCCGCACUUCUCCAGUUCCUCCUCCUUAUUUGCCAUCCCCAUUAGCAGGCAUCACCUUCUCGUCCUCCCUCAUCGGCAUCUCGAGAGGAAGACGACGGUCCUGAUCGCUGGCCAUCUGGGCGGUGGAUUGGCACGCCUCUCACUCCUUGGGUGGCGGAUGUACUGAUGGGUUGCGGCCCCAGCAGUCCAGCAGCCGUUGGGAUUUCACGCCGUUGUGACCAGACAAUACAUGUAGGAAGAUGCUCCUGAUGUUUGCGUUUCUCUAAUCUGUAGCACAGGUAUGGAGAAGCAGCAGUGCUAGGUGUGGUGGAUCUGUACUGCUUCUAACGGAGGUUUGAACCAGAAUUGUGUAAUUGGUUUUUUUCUUCUCAUCGAUUAGUAGUGAUACUCGGUUUGAAACAACACUAGUGAUUUUGGUUGACUUAAGCAAUACACGAUAUGUCCAUCAUGUAGUAACUUGUUUGAUACUGGUGAUCUGCUAGAGCAGGUGUGCUUCUUUGUUUCCAUUUUGAUCCCUAAUGUGUACUAGACAAGCUGAACAUCACGCAUUGGAGAUUUGGGUCUGGUAGUAAUUACGGGAGAUGUGGAAUUACGUGAUUGUGUGUGUGCCUUGCAUGUAUUGUGCCUAUGUGAUGUGGUUCUAGGUGCCAAUUCAUUGCUAUUUUUAGCUAAUCUAUUGUAUUGUAUUACACAUUUCCUCUUAGGUUUCUCGUCCUCAAAUAUGGAUAAUUGAAGCCAAAAAGUACACCGAUUGUAACCAGAAGACAUGCGGGAUGGACUAGAGGUUUCCUGAUCUACUAUUAUGAUUGUGUGAUCCAUUCCUCACUCUAUAGAUGAUUGAAGUCGGCUGGAGCUAGGAAGGCCACCAGCAAGUGAAGCAUUACUUGUCACUAUAUCCUAAUGUGAGGUAAAUUUAAAAAGACUAUUGUAUGGUCAACAUCCAUAUAUCAAGAAUCCAAGGAGGCAUGAAGAAGGCAUAAUGAAUGGUUUCACUUUAUUUCUUAGGUUUAGUUUGAUAAAAAAUGUGACCUGGGACAUAUGGAUAGCCAGAUGAAUCAAUGUUCAAUUUUCAUUUUCUAUCAGGUUGAUAUAUGUA